This 253-nucleotide ribosomal RNA is filed under the name uncultured bacterium. RNAcentral describes it as "partial 16S ribosomal RNA". It matches the Rfam family "Bacterial small subunit ribosomal RNA", at positions 524 to 776 of the family's 1533-position model. The record is from RNAcentral.
UACGUAGGUGGCAAGCGUUGUUCGGAAUUAUUGGGCGUAAAGGGCGCGUAGGCGGCAUGUUAAGUCGGCUGUGAAAGCCCGGGGCUCAACCCCGGAGGGUCGGCCGAUACUGGCAAGCUAGAGUACAGAAGAGGUAGCUGGAAUUCCCGGUGUAGCGGUGAAAUGCGUAGAUAUCGAGAGGAACACCUGCGGCGAAGGCGGGUUGCUGGGCUGACACUGACGCUGAAGCGCGAAAGCUAGGGGAGCGAACGGG